RNAcentral lists this ribosomal RNA (253 nucleotides) under uncultured bacterium. Its description in RNAcentral is "partial 16S ribosomal RNA". It matches the Rfam family "Archaeal small subunit ribosomal RNA", at positions 474 to 727 of the family's 1478-position model. The record is from RNAcentral.
UACCAGCACCCCGAGUGGUCGGGCCGAUUCUUGGGCCUAAAGCAUCCGUAGCCGGCCUUACCAGUCCCCCGUUAAAUCCAACUGCUUAACAGAUGGGCUGCGGAGGAUACUAUAAGACUAGGAGGCAGGAGAGGCAAGCGGUACUCAGUGGGUAGGGGUAAAAUCCGUUGAUCCAUUGAAGACCACCAGUGGCGAAGGCGGCUUGCCAGAAUGCGCUCGACGGUGAGGGAUGAAAGCUGGGGGAGCAAACCGG